GUCAUAAUUAUUCUUGAGUCUCUUCCUGAAGAGUUUGAACAAUUUAAGGUCAACUAUAACUCUCUAAAGGAAAAAUGGCCACUCUCUGAGAUGACCGCAAGGAUCGUCCAGGAGGAAGAAAGGAUCAUGAGGCAGAAGAAAGACCAUGUCUUUCAUGUUGGCUCUAACAAGAGAAAGCAUGACGGACAAGGUUUUCCUAAGCCUCAGAAAAAGCAAGUCAAGAAAGAAGGCACUAAGCCAUUCAACCCUAAGGCAUUCAAGGGUAAAGAAGCCGGUGGUUCUUCUUCUGCUCCUAGCAGCUCCACUGCUGGAGAAAAUGCUUGUAACUUCUGCAAAGAAGAGGGACACUAUCAAAGGGACUACCCAGGCUUUCUAAAAUGGAUGAACAAAAGAGGGAUUCGAUACGAUCCAAACCAU
This 417-nucleotide ribosomal RNA is filed under the name Triticum aestivum (bread wheat). RNAcentral describes it as "partial small subunit ribosomal RNA". Lineage: Eukaryota; Viridiplantae; Streptophyta; Magnoliopsida; Poales; Poaceae. The record is from RNAcentral.